RNA transcript from Gadus macrocephalus (Pacific cod), 2161 nucleotides. It is a transcript of the gene named dnaJ homolog subfamily A member 3, mitochondrial-like, with no coding region annotated. The record is from RefSeq and is a predicted model, not a curated record. Lineage: Eukaryota; Metazoa; Chordata; Actinopteri; Gadiformes; Gadidae. The transcript is spliced from 12 exons.
GGCACAUGCGCAGUGUGCUCCGGGAGCAGCAGCCGCUUCCAGGCUUGUGGAGAAAUGAUGGCGUCCCCAGCAGCUCGUCGUUCAGCACGCUGGAUAACGGUAGCCGUGUCUUCAGGAGGUCGCAAUGCAUGUGGGGCUCUUUCAUGUGCCUCACAUCGCAGUGCCAGGACUGUCUCUACCCUCGGGGCGAGCAAAAGAUUGUCUGGGGCUGGCGCCACGUUGGGCUCAGGGACGGCCGCCGCCGUGACAUUGAGAGGGCUGUCAGGUGUCAAAGUACCGAACACCAUCCGCACAGUGAACUUCCACACAAGUGUCCAAGCCAGUAGCAAGCAGGACUUCUAUCAGAUAUUGUCCGUACCACGCACGGCAACCCAGAAAGAGAUCAAGCAGUCCUACUACCAGUUGGCCAAAAAGUUUCACCCUGACACUAACAAAGAUGACCCUAAGGCCAAGGAGAAGUUUGCUCAGCUGGCUGAAGCAUAUGAGGUCCUGAGUGACGAGGGCAAGAGGAAGCAGUACGACACGUACGGUUCGGCCGGCCUCGGCGGCGCCGGGCAGGCGGGCGGCGGCGGCGGGCAGCAGUACUGGAGUGGCCAGGCCAGCAGCGUGGACCCCGAGGAGCUCUUCCGCAAGAUCUUCGGGGAGUUCUCCGGCUCGCGGGGCUUCGGAGACUUCAACGCCAUCUUCGACCAGCCGCAAGAGUACAUCAUGGAGCUGACCUUCACCCAGGCAGCGAAGGGCGUCAACAAAGAGAUCACCAUCAACAUGGAGGCCUCGUGUCAGCGCUGCGAAGGCAAGGGUCACGAACCCGGGACCAAGGUCCAGCACUGCCAGCACUGCAACGGCUCCGGCAUGGAGACGGUGAACACGGGCCCCUUCGUGAUGCGCUCCACCUGCCGGCGCUGUGGCGGCAAGGGCUCGGUGGUCUCCACCCCCUGUGGCUCCUGCCGCGGCACCGGCCAGACCAAGCAGAGGAGGACGCUGAUGGUGCCCGUGCCGGCAGGAGUGGAGGAGGGCCAGACAGUCAGGAUGCCGGUGGGCAAGAAGGAGAUCUUCAUCACCUUCAGGGUCCAGAAGAGUCCGGUGUUCAGAAGAGAGGGCGCUGACGUCCACUCGGAUCUGCUCAUCUCCGUGGCCCAAGCCAUCCUGGGAGGCAGUGCCAGAUCACAAGGCCUCUACGAGACCCUCAACCUACCGAUUCCUGCUGGCAUCCAGACGGACCAGAGGAUCCGUCUCUCUGGGAAAGGAAUCGCCAAGGUCAGCAGCCAUGGCUUCGGAGACCACUACGUUCACGUCAAAAUCAAAGUGCCCAAGACGCUGACAGACAAACAGAAGACGCUGCUGAUGAGCUAUGCUGAGGAUGAAACGGAAGUCGAGGGAACAGUAAACGGAGUCACAGACACGAAGAAAGUGUAAGCCUGGCGCAGUACUGGUCUCCGUCCAGGUGGGGGCAGCAGUGCUAUGCAGACUGAGGUAAAAGGUCCACCGGGAACUGAGUUGUUGAUCCAGCACCUCCCUGGACGGAGGUCCCACUCGGGUGGGUUCCUCAAGCUGAACACAGGACAGAACCCGUCCUGAGGAAGGGGUCGCGCGCUACAGCACGGAGAUAACAGUGGGUGGAUGUGUCGGUAGGGGGGACGCAUCCACCUUGGAAGACCAUGUUCCAUGACGACCUAUUACUGGAUAUCAGUUUAGUUGCCAGGUUCUCUCAAACGCAUUUGUUGGCGUGAGUCCAUCAAUUUACUUGUCCAUCCCAGUCCUCUUUUGUCUUCAUGGCAGACAGGAUUUUUCAUUUGCAAAGUGUGCAUGUUUCAGAAAUCCACCUCAUAGAGAAAUAGAUUAAAAUGCUACACAUGUCUUUGUGUUUUCAUGAAUACUUUUUCAUCAAACAUAAUACGGACACAAGUUGUUUUUCUCGUUCCACUGGUUGAGAAUCUUGAGCAAUAUAACUACAUUGUGUUCCUUAUCCUUCGGGUAAUGGUCAAAGCUUGGUAGACUACUAGCAUCUCUAUUACUGUAGAGACUGUUGUAUUUAAGCCUGCUGUAUGACCGGUGAUUUACAUUUGUAAAUAACUAGACGUUUAUCAAGCAGUUGUCCCUUCACAUAAUUUAAAUAUAAGCCCCUGUACAUGUCUAAUAAAGAAACUGAUUGAAAAUGAAA